GGGGGAUCUCCUGUUUUGAUAGGGUUAGUUAGAAAAACGCUACAUGCAUAGUCACUACAUACUAGAGCUCCAGUUCUAUUCAAGUUCAUACCUGUGUUUUUGUAUGAUGUGAUUCUUUGAAGAUGAAGUAUGCAAUGCAGUUAUUUUGCUUAUUAUAACCGAAGUAAAUCAAUCCCACGUCCUAUAGUUAGGAGACAGCAUGUAUUUAAUCCUGGUAUUCGUGCCAUUUCAGCCUUCUGUGUAUUUGACCCACAUGUUUGAAUUGGCAGUUGAAUCCUGCUGAAUCUUAGAUCUGUUGGUCGUUUUAUGCAUCUUGAGUAGCAAGUAUACAGUAUAUAUCCAUAUAGGGAUUAUAUACACAGAAAUGCAAAUGUAAAUGCACCCAAAGAUUUCAACCUGAUUGUUUUUCUAAGUUUGCCUCAAUGCUGGUAUGGUUCCAUUGUUGUUAUAGGUUUUAAUACAGAAAGCAAACAGCUUUCGAAAAGUUCCAAAAAUCCAAAACAAAUAUGAUGUGCUCUGCUUGAGGGCUAAAGAGCAAGCAUUCGUUAAAGUCAUGCACUCUCGCUAAACAAGGAAGGCCACUCAUACUCCAGUCAUCCGAUAGCUGCUAUGUCCUAGAGGAACUGCUAACCCCCAUAUAGGCAUGAGACCUGGUGUAGGGACGCAUGCAAGAGGGCAGUUCACUAAAACAACUACAGCACUGGUGUGUGCUGCCUGUGCUGCCUUAGACACAGGGACGAAGGGAGAAGCAGAUUGAUUGUGACUGCAGUUCAGGGAUAGAUAAUGCAGUCUGAUGUUCUUGUAUGGACGUAAUCAGCUCGCGCCUGAUGCUACUGUGCCAUAAUUUAGAAGGGGUGCUAAUUAAAUUUGUAGUAAUUGUAGAAUUCCCCACUUCAAUUUGCAGCAUAAUGUACGCUUUCUUAUCAACAGCCAGCACAUCAAGCAAUACUGACACAUACUGUAGACUGAUGGUAGUUUUUAAUGAUUGCCAUCAUAUUAUUAUGAAGUUGGGCAUAAUAUAUAUUUUUUCACAGUGCAGCUGUUUGUGCCAAAUAUUUCUUCAAUAAACAACUGCGUUGUUGAAGCUUUUUAUGGUUAAUAAGGUCAGGUGUGCUUUCUCUGUGUGUGAGUGCAUGUUUGUAUGGAAUCAGGAUGAGUUCAUUUGGAAUCAAAGAAUUUUUUUUAAUAGUGCCCUGAAAGAAAAUACACCAAAAAAAAAACAUUUAGAUAAUUAAGAAAAAAAAAAAAACUGAGGACAUGACGCUUUUGGCACCAUGUUUUCUUCGUAUUUUCAUUACUUUUUGAUAUAUAUAUAUCAAAACAGAAGGAGGACAGAGAGGAACGUUGUUUCUGAGUAUACUCAUUAGGCAGGUCUAUUUACAAGUAUACUACUAAGUACAAGUAUGUGUAAGUAUACAUAAGUGUAGCAUUUAAUGCCGCUGAAGAAUCUAGUCAUUAGGUCGGGUACACUGUACCCCAACCACAGGAAAUGUAAUAUUGUGUAUGCUCAGAAAAAUAGAAUGGCAUUUAACAACAAAACAAAACAAUUAAUAAAACAAUUUAAUGACUUGCAAGUCACUUUAACAAAUAAGUUGUGCUGCCUAAGUGAUGCUACCAUUUAAUAGGCCUAGAAUUUAACAUGUUAAGUUUGGUUACAGAUUCAAUCUUUAUUUAAAAGAAAGAGAAGGAGAACAAUUUGCCCUGUUAAAAACUGACUCACUGGUAAAAGGCAGUGAUGUCUGUGGUGUAAUAUUUGUGUGUGUGUGUGUGUGUGUGUGUGUGUGUGUGUGUGUGUGUGUGUGUGUGUGUGUGUGUGUGUGUGUGUGUGGUGGCGGCUCGAGCUGAUGAUGUGAAUCAUACUGUACAUUAUAUUCCUUCUUCUGUGGUUGUGAUUCAUCAGUCCGCUUGUCAAUGACAAAACUGAAGUGAAAAUUUACAAAGAAAGAAAGCAAACACAAAGAGAAAACUAAAGAAAAAUCAUGAAGUAAUGAGUCAUAUUAAAAAGUUAAACUAUGAGUAAUGACAGAGUGGCGUUGCAAACAUUGCAGGAAAAUGCAUCAAUUCCUAAGUCAUGUCUGCAAUAUCGAUAUAUAUUUUUUGUAGUAGAGUGAGGCCUCGUCUUUGUGCUAUACUAUUUGACCAAAUGUUUUUGGACACCUGACCAUCACACCCAUAUGAGGGCCUUCCCAAAGUUGGUAGCACACAAAAAUGUGUGAAGGUUGGAAGAAGGUGGAAGAACUCGAGUGUCCUGCAAAUAUCCCUGACCUCAACCCCACUGAACACCUUUGAGAUGAACUGGAACUGGAGCUUCCUCACCCAACAUCAGUGCCGAGUGAACACAAAUUUGCACAGUCAUGCUCCAAAAUCUAGCGGAAAGCCUUCCCAGAAGAGUGAGCUUAUUAUAACAGCAAAAGGGGAAUAAAUCUGGAAUGGUACGCUCAGCAAGCACAUCUUCUGUGUGAUUGUCAGGUGUCCACAAACUUUUGGCCAUGCUCUUUUGGUAUGCUCUUGUUUGUCACCAUUAAAGACCUCACUUUGACUCCAUAUGUAUGUGCUAAAACAUUAUAAAUGGCAAGGCAUAGGACUGUCUCUGUAAGUGUGACCUUAUAUGAAGACAUAUUUUAUUCAGCAAAUGCAGACUGAAACGUUCUGUAAAAUCAUAUGCAGAAACAGAUGUUAUCUGCUGUAAUCCAGCUACUUAGGGCAAUAUUCUCACAGAUCCUCCCAUUUAUUUUAGGCAUCUCAAUCUGUAAGGCAAACUUCACCAUAUGUUACUAGGACUUUCUGGUUGCGAGUAAACAAGGAAGUAUCACCUGCAUGUACUCUGUAGUCAUUCCGCAGUACAUCACAUCCAAGCCUUCAUUAUCCCUUUAUAAAACUUCACAAUAAUGUACUUUAUUUAUUCACCAUCCCUUAAACACUCCCUCUUGGUGAUAUAACUUUACGUACUUCCAUAUGUAGCGACUCCACAGUAUUGUGACCUUGUUUGGAGUCUUCUGAUGGGUUAAGACAUUGCGUUAUCACAUACCCAUGAUAUACUGUAACAGCGUCCCUGAGUCCAUCAGACUGAGAUCAAGAUCAUUACUUAAUAUACUUAGAAUAAGGUCAUUCCUUUUAUCUCAUCAUUUUUCAG
This is a long non-coding RNA of Ictalurus punctatus (channel catfish), 3133 nucleotides long. Lineage: Eukaryota; Metazoa; Chordata; Actinopteri; Siluriformes; Ictaluridae. The record is from Ensembl.